UCCAGACUCCUACGGGAGGCAGCAGUGGGGAAUAUUGCACAAUGGGGGAAACCCUGAUGCAGCAACGCCGCGUGAGUGAAGAAGUCAUUCGUGAUGUAAAGCUCUAUCAGCAGGGAAGAAAAUGACGGUACCUGAGUAAGAAGCCCCGGCUAACUACGUGCCAGCAGCCGCGGUAAUACGUAUGGGGCAAGCGUUAUCCGGAUUUACUGGGUGUAAAGGGAGCGUAGGCGGCAGGGCAAGCCUGAUGUGAAAGCCCGGGGCUCAACCCCGGGACUGCAUUGGGAACUGCCCCGCUCGAGUGCCGGAGGGGCAGGCGGAAUUCCUAGUGUAGCGGUGAAAUGCGUAGAUAUUAGGAGGAACACCAGUGGCGAAGGCGGCCUGCUGGACGGUGUACUGACGCUGAGGCUCGAAAGCGUGGGGAGCAAACAGGAUUAGAUACCCGCGUA
RNAcentral lists this ribosomal RNA (446 nucleotides) under uncultured bacterium. Its description in RNAcentral is "bacterial SSU rRNA". It matches the Rfam family "Bacterial small subunit ribosomal RNA", at positions 330 to 792 of the family's 1533-position model. The record is from RNAcentral.